RNAcentral lists this long non-coding RNA (2412 nucleotides) under Gossypium barbadense (sea-island cotton). RNAcentral describes it as "long non-coding RNA (GBAR_LNC004992)". The record is from RNAcentral. Lineage: Eukaryota; Viridiplantae; Streptophyta; Magnoliopsida; Malvales; Malvaceae.
AGCAGCAACAGCAGCAACCUCAACAGCCUCAACAUCAGCAUCAGCAUCCACAGCAACAGCAUCAGCAACAACUGCAGAUGCAACAACUUUUACUGCAGAGGCAUGCUCAGCAACAACAGCAGCAGCAACAACAACAACAGCAGCAACAGCAGCAGCAGCAGCAGCAGCAGCAACAACAGCAGCAGCAGCAACAACAACAACAACAGCAACAGCAACAACAGCAGCCGCAGCAGCAGUCUCCCCAGCAGCCGCAACAGCCCCAACAACGAAGGGAUGGGUCUCAUCUCCUAAAUGGCAGUACAAAUGGACUUGUUGGGAAUGACUCUCUCAUGCGUCAGCCUGCUGGAACUGCUAAUGCCAUGGCAACAAAGAUGUACGAGGAAAGACUAAAGUUGCCACUUCAAAGGGAUUCUUUGGAUGAUGCGGCCAUGAAGGUAGGUGGAUCACCUUUGAUUUCUUAGAAACAUGUUCUUCUUUUAGUCAUAACCAUUAAGGAACUCCCUACAGCAAAGGUAUGGUGAGAAUGUUGGCCAGCUUUUGGAUCCAAAUCAUGCCUCAAUACUGAAGCCUGCUGCAGCAACCAGCCAACCUUCAGGGUGAGUUAUUCUACAUUUCUUUUAUUACUCAGAAGAGCCUUUGGCUGCAGAUGAUUUUGUAAAGAGCAAUGUGAACAAAGUCUCAUGGACAUUGACUAAGACAAUUUGCAAAAAUGCUUCAGAAGGUGUUCGAUAUAGUUUUUAGGGCAAUUCCCUUCAAUCUUAUGGUUGGUUUGCUCUAACAAAAUACUUUGGAGUUGUUUCACGUUCUUUUAUCUGAAAUAGCCAGUAGGACAUUUAGGGUUUGUUGAAGCAUCCAAUACUUAGUUGUUUACAGCAAUAAACAAAUUUGGCAUCAUGCAAAUUCCAGGCAAGUGCUGCAUGGGACUGCCGGUGGUAUGUCUCCUCAAGUUCAGGCUCGGAGUCAGCAAUUGCCAGGAACAACACCGGUAGGUUUGUUUGAUCUCUUUCAUUUGAUCUCUUAUAUUGAUCUCUUUCAUUUGAUGCUUCUCUUUGUCAUGUUCUGAAAUUUAUCUGGAAGCAGGACAUAAAGAGUGAGAUAAAUCCAGUAUUGAAUCCCAGGGCUACUGGCCCAGAUGGAUCUUUAAUAGGAAUUCCAGGUAGGUUUGUUUCACUUUCUUAGGUUCUGUUCAAUUCUUUAAUUCAAAAAUAGUGCAAAAAUGAUGGUAUCAACUCAACUACUGUUUGCUUGUUCUUGUGAUAUGCUGGGCUCAGUUUACAUAGGAAUUAGGAACAUAAAUUAUGUGAUUUCAUUUUUGUUUCAGGCUCAAAUCAAGGUGGUAAUAAUUUGACUUUGAAAGGAUGGCCUUUAACAGUAAGUUUUAUUAAGAUUCGCUUUACCCUAGAGUGGUAAUAACUCUUAGUAUCACAGUUCUAUUUGGUGGAAAUAAAUUGUUUUUACUUAUCACCUGUAUUUAUGAAUUGUAACUUUUACUUUUCAUGUAUCUCUUUUGAAUGGUUAUCAUUUUAUCCGUUUUUUAGGGAUUAGACCAACUGCGAUCUGGGAUACUACAACAGCAAAAACCUUUUAUACAGGCUCCUCAGCCCUUUCACCAACUUCAGAUGUUGACACCACAGCACCAGCAGCAACUCAUGCUUGCUCAGCAGACUCUGACAUCACCAGCUGGCAGUGAUGAAAAUAGAAGACUGAGAAUGCUGUUGAAUAAUAAUCGGACCAUGGGCCUUUCAAAUUCUGCUGGUGAUGUUGUUCCAAAUGUAUCACCAUUGCAGGCAGGCAGUCCGCUUAUGCAUCGGGGAGAUGCUGAUGUACUGGUGAAGGUAUUACUGUCUGUACGAAGUUUGUUUUUCCUACCCUUUCUCUUGAAAGGAAAUUUCAGUUUUACCUUUGUUUGCUAGGUAUUUUGCUAUCACAUAAGUUUUAUGGUCAUCUAUUUUUUUAGAUAUUUAAUCCACCUUGCAGUUAAAAUUGGCUCAGUUGCAACAGCAACAGCAGCAACUGCAACAACAACAGCAACAGCAACAGAACAGUAGCUCACAGCAUGCACUCUUGAAUCAGCAACCACAGACUUCUAAUCCAAGUCUACUUCAACAAGAUAAAGUUGGUGGAGGUGGAAGUGUCACUGUGGAUGGUAGCAUGUCAAACUCAUUUCGAGGGAAUGAUCAGGUUUGCCCUUUUCUGGUUAUUUCUAAUUCAUCUUGCUUCCAUGUGUCACUCUUCUGGAGCGUUCCUUGUGGUUCUUGGGUCAGUAUGGGCAUGGUAGAGAUUUGUCCCGCUGAAGAAAUUUCUAGCUGAUAGGCCAACUCAUUUUUUUUUUGAAUUUCCCAUUAAUUCUUCUCCUCCAUCCCCUGCUCUUGGAAUAAUGGUACAAUUUCAUUAGAAAGAUUUGGAUUGAAU